AGUGACAGGUGGUGGUUAUCGUAGGUGAUUGAUUAUGGAAACGUUUCAACUUCAACCCAUAACAGAUCUAUUUUCUACGCACGUUUAAGUUGGAUUCACAACGGAUAUGGGGUAGGAAGGUAUUUGGAACGUUCUUCAAUGAGUAGAUCUCUUGUGAGGAUUAAAGGCUACCGAUCGAGGAGUGUGUGAAAAGCUUGGAUCAUCGGAGUGACUAAAUCUAGUCAUCAACUUCGACAAAG
Molecule: long non-coding RNA, 239 nt
Organism: Gossypium arboreum
Lineage: Eukaryota; Viridiplantae; Streptophyta; Magnoliopsida; Malvales; Malvaceae
Exons: 3
Source: RefSeq, a predicted model, not a curated record